RNAcentral lists this ribosomal RNA (259 nucleotides) under uncultured bacterium. RNAcentral's name for it is "partial 16S ribosomal RNA". It matches the Rfam family "Bacterial small subunit ribosomal RNA", at positions 524 to 782 of the family's 1533-position model. The record is from RNAcentral.
GACGGAGGAUGCAAGUGUUAUCCGGAAUCACUGGGCGUAAAGCGUCUGUAGGUGGUUCGAAAAGUCCACUGUUAAAAAUUGAGGCUUAACUUCAAAGAUGCCGUGGAAACUUUCAAACUAGAGUAUGGUAGGGGUAGAGGGAAUUUCCAGUGGAGCGGUGAAAUGCGUAGAUAUUGGAAAGACCACCGAUGGCGAAGGCACUCUACUGGGCCGACACUGACACUGAGAGACGAAAGCUAGGGGAGCGAAUGGGAUUGAG